This 253-nucleotide ribosomal RNA is filed under the name uncultured bacterium. Its description in RNAcentral is "partial 16S ribosomal RNA". It matches the Rfam family "Bacterial small subunit ribosomal RNA", at positions 524 to 776 of the family's 1533-position model. The record is from RNAcentral.
UACAGAGGUCCCAAGCGUUGUUCGGAUUCAUUGGGCGUAAAGGGUGCGUAGGUGGCGCGCUAAGUCAGGUGUGAAAUUUCGGAGCUUAACUCCGAAACUGCAUUUGAUACUGGCGUGCUUGAGGACUGGAGAGGAGACUGGAAUUUACGGUGUAGCAGUGAAAUGCGUAGAGAUCGUAAGGAAGACCAGUGGCGAGGGCGGGUCUCUGGACAGUUCCUGACACUGAGGCACGAAGGCCAGGGGAGCAAACGGG